ACGGGGGGAGCAAGCGUUGUUCGGAAUCACUGGGCGUAAAGGGAGUCUAGGCGGUUUGGUAAGUGGGAUGUGAAAUCCCUCGGCUCACCCGAGGACCUGCAUCCCAUACUGCUGAGCUUGAGUACAGGAGAGGGUGGGGGAAUUCCUGGUGUAGCGGUGAAAUGCGUAGAUAUCAGGAGGAACACCGGUGGCGAAAGCGGCUUACUGGGCCUCUUCUGACGCUGAGAUACGAAAGCUAGGGGAGCGAACGGGA
This 253-nucleotide ribosomal RNA is filed under the name uncultured prokaryote. RNAcentral describes it as "partial 16S ribosomal RNA". It matches the Rfam family "Bacterial small subunit ribosomal RNA", at positions 525 to 777 of the family's 1533-position model. The record is from RNAcentral.